Molecule: transfer RNA, 65 nt
Filed under: Toxocara canis (dog roundworm)
Lineage: Eukaryota; Metazoa; Nematoda; Chromadorea; Rhabditida; Toxocaridae
Rfam family: tRNA
About the family: Transfer RNA (tRNA) molecules are approximately 80 nucleotides in length. Their secondary structure includes four short double-helical elements and three loops (D, anti-codon, and T loops).
Source: Rfam by way of RNAcentral
GCAGUAGCUCAGUGGUAGAGCCCCAGCUUCGCAUGUGGGUCGAACUGGGUUCGAGUCCCGGCUGC